UACAGAGGUCUCAACCGUUGUUCGGAUUCAUUGGGCGUAAAGGGUGCGUAGGCGGUCUCGUAAGUCAGAUGUGAAAUCCCAGGGCUCAACCCUGGAACUGCAUUUGAUACUGCGAGGCUAGGAUACUGGAGAGGAGACUGGAAUUUACGGUGUAGCAGUGAAAUGCGUAGAUAUCGUAAGGAAGACCAGUGGCGAAGGCGAGUCUCUGGACAGUUAUCGACGCUGAGGCACGAAGGCUAGGGGAGCAAACGGG
This 253-nucleotide ribosomal RNA is filed under the name uncultured bacterium. RNAcentral's name for it is "partial 16S ribosomal RNA". It matches the Rfam family "Bacterial small subunit ribosomal RNA", at positions 524 to 776 of the family's 1533-position model. The record is from RNAcentral.